GACGAACGCUGGCGGCGUGCCUAAUACAUGCAAGUUGAGCGCUGAAGGUUGGUACUUGUACCAACUGGAUGAGCAGCGCACGGGUGAGUAACGCGUGGGGAAUCUGCCUUUGAGCGGGGGACAACAUUUGGAAACGAAUGCUAAUACCGCAUAAAAACUUUAAACACAAGUUUUAAGUUUGAAAGAUGCAAUUGCAUCACUCAAAGAUGAUCCCGCGUUGUAUUAGCUAGUUGGUGAGGUAAAGGCUCACCAAGGCGAUGAUACAUAGCCGACCUGAGAGGGUGAUCGGCCACAUUGGGACUGAGACACGGCCAAAACUCCUACGGGAGGCAGCAGUAGGGAAUCUUCGGCAAUGGACGAAAGUCUGACCGAGCAACGCCGCGUGAGUGAAGAAGGUUUUCGGAUCGUAAAACUCGGUUGGUAGAGAAGAACGUUGGUGAGAGUGGAAAGCUCAUCAAGUGACGGUAACUACCCAGAAAGGGACGGCUAACUACGUG
Molecule: ribosomal RNA, 497 nt
Filed under: uncultured bacterium
Lineage: Bacteria
Description: partial 16S ribosomal RNA
Rfam family: Bacterial small subunit ribosomal RNA
Source: RNAcentral